GCAGGCAGCAGCGGGGAGGGCCCCGCCGGGCCGCCGCCGCCGACAGACGCGGUGCUCCCAGCACAUUUGUGCCGCCGCAUUUUCCUUCUGGUCGAAGAGGUUGGCACCGACUGCGGCCAUCAGGGACUGCGGGAGCCGCGCAAGGAGGCGGCCUGGCGCUUCGGCCGAUGCGCGGCGCUUGGACUUGGCAGGUGCCGAUGCCUUGUCCAGCUCCGCCGCGGGCUCGCUGUCCGGCGUGGGGCACAUCGCUUCGUAUCUCCCUAGCUGUAAAAUGGGGAGAAGGAUUCUUCCUCCUGGCUGUGGCUUGAAGUGAGAUCCAUUACCUACUUGAGCAAACUCCGCCGAGUGAGGAGAGCCUGCAGGCAAAGAUCUCCUGCCUUGAAAGCACAUGCCCCACUUACUGUAGCUGAGAAAAUCUCUGCAAUAGCUGCCAGUAGCACGUGGCCUUGGAAGCACACUUUUUGGCCCGUGUGCCACAAGUUAAGGCCUGCUCCCCAUCCUUUCUCAGGUGCCAUCCUCAGAGGCAUAUCUGAAUGUGAGGGAGGCUCAAGCCUCUGGCCUCAUGGAGCUAGGUUAACCUUUCCUUGGCCCUACGACCCUUGCAGAUUUAUAUGGAGGGGAAUAAAAGCCCUGAAUUCAAUGCUGGCUGCAGAGCCAGGGAAGGGUUAACCUGGCCCUUGGCACUGACACCUCCUCUGGUAGCAUCAUCCUGCCCUCGCUCUGCUCCACUUGGCUGGAGGCUCAAAGCCCGCUGCCCCCAUUCCAGCAUCUCCUUUUACUGUGUGCCUGGGCCUCGUGUGCCACUUGUGGGACAUGUGCUGUGCAUUGGCCACCUGUGGCCCAAAGUGGAUGACUGACUCUUUCCAGGAGAGGGCAGAGUACAUGAACACUUCCUAUUUCAUUAUCAACUCUAUUUAUCCCCCUCGCUCAUGUACUUAUGGUACGUGACUUUAUUAUUCACAGGCUUCAAGUCAGACUUUUGGAGACCAAAUAUUUGACAUCAUCCCUUGAAGAAGUGUUUAAAUUGAGUUCUGAAGGUAUAUUGUCUACAUGCGCAUAGGAAAGCUUGUAAAAGCAGUUUGAGCUAUGCUGGUACAUGUCUUUUCCUCUGAAAUAUAACAACUGAUCCAAAACAAGUAAGAAGCGGUGCGAUAAAAACAGGCCUCGAAUAAAGUUACAGACGUGAAUGUAUCCGCAAUGCAUUUCCAUAGCAGCGUGAUGAACAAUUGACCUCAAGUCAGAAUUGCAGUUGACAUGGUGAUGCACUGAAACAACUGACCACAUUGCUCACACUUGUACAAGCUACGUGUUAAUGCACCAAACACAUCCAGUGCUGGAGAGGAGGCAGGCACUUGCUGCAUAGAUUCAACUUCAUCGGCCUACGCGUUGUUGGUGUCUAGAAGCCUAUUUACCAGCUCUUUAACGAGGAAGAACACUCCUUGCCAUCCCCUUCCUCUCCCCCUCCCCACCCCUGUUCAGGAUGGCACAGGGAGAAAUCCUCCCAAGAAAUUUCUGUUGAAAUCAAUCACUGUUGUGACCAAGGGCUACUGAGUUUGGGGCCCUGUGGAAUUACAGGUCUCCCUUGAGAGCCAUGGGGUCUGAUUCUCCACUCAAUCCCAGAGGCCCUUAACCUGGAAGCAAGCACAGGGUUUUUCCUAAGGGGUCUACCAUAGGCACAAGAUGGAGCACCUGCCAGGUGGCUUGUCCAGUGGGCAGAGAAGGAAACUAGCUUUCAAAGGGUCUUGGGGUCUCUUCCCAGCUUUGCCACUGACUUGCUGGCUGGCCUUUUCACACCUCUCCAUCUCGCAUUACCUCCUUCACUAGGGUAUUGCAAGGCUUAAUUAAAAAGUAAUGUUUGGGAAGCACUUUUGAGGUCCUUGAAUGAGAAGGGCCAAAGAUUAUUACUCUGAGUUUCAGAUUGCUAGCUCCACUCUUGAAUCAGAGUGCUGCAGGGCUGACCCCCAUGCACCAAAGCAAAUAAAGGUUUCCAGGGAAGGA
Alligator mississippiensis (American alligator) is the source of this 1998-nucleotide long non-coding RNA. RefSeq lists it as uncharacterized. The record is from RefSeq and is a predicted model, not a curated record. The transcript is spliced from 2 exons. NCBI's taxonomy places the organism in Eukaryota, Metazoa, Chordata, Crocodylia, Alligatoridae.